This 581-nucleotide ribosomal RNA is filed under the name Curvularia lunata. RNAcentral's name for it is "eukaryotic LSU rRNA". The stretch from base 214 to 367 matches the Rfam family "5.8S ribosomal RNA". The record is from RNAcentral. Lineage: Eukaryota; Fungi; Ascomycota; Dothideomycetes; Pleosporales; Pleosporaceae.
GGGGGACUGCGGAGGGAUCAUUACACAAUAAAAUAUGAAGGCUGUACGCGGCUGUGCUCUCGGGCCAGUUUUGCGGAGGCUGAAUUAUUUAUUACCCUUGUCUUUUGCGCACUUGUUGUUUCCUGGGCGGGUUCGCCCGCCACCAGGACCACAUCAUAAACCUUUUUUAUGCAGUUGCAAUCAGCGUCAGUAUAACAAAUGUAAAUCAUUUACAACUUUCAACAACGGAUCUCUUGGUUCUGGCAUCGAUGAAGAACGCAGCGAAAUGCGAUACGUAGUGUGAAUUGCAGAAUUCAGUGAAUCAUCGAAUCUUUGAACGCACAUUGCGCCCUUUGGUAUUCCAAAGGGCAUGCCUGUUCGAGCGUCAUUUGUACCCUCAAGCUUUGCUUGGUGUUGGGCGUUUUUUGUCUUUGGUUGCCAAAGACUCGCCUUAAAAGGAUUGGCAGCCGGCCUACUGGUUUCGCAGCGCAGCACAUUUUUGCGCUUGCAAUCAGCAAAAGAGGACGGCAAUCCAUCAAGACUCCUUCUCACGUUUGACCUCGGAUCAGGUAGGGAUACCCGCUGAACUUAAGCAUAUCAAA